GGCUAUUGUGGCUUUAGUCUACAAUGUAUUGAAGGCAUUUAUGGAAAUGAACAGCACCAUGUUUGACGAGCUGACAGCCACUUACAAGUCAGAUCGUCAGCGUGAGAAGAAGAAAGAGAAAGAACGUGAAGAACUGUGGAAAAAACUGGAGGAUUUGGAAUUAAAGAGAGGUCUUAGACGUGAUGGAAUAAUUCCAACUUAACAGAAAAACAAAACAGCAUUAUUAACCUGUGGAGUCACACAUUUAUGUAGUAGAAGAUGGAGCAACAGUUUUCUGUAUUGUGCAACUUUACAGUAGAUUUCACAUUUGUUUCAUUAUUACAACAGCACUGUAUAUACCUGUCUCUAAGUAAAGGAAAAAAAUAAGGACUUUAAUCCAAAGUUUGGACAGCAGAUGGACUUCUCAGAACUUUGCAAACAUAAUCAUUGUUUUAACCCUUCUUUAAAACCAGUCUUCAAAGAUCUGUUGAUGAAAAUUGCAAUUGUCAAAUUCCAUUGUCAGGACCUGUUCCUUAUUUAUCGUUAGCAGAGAGUAUAAUACAACUUUCAAAUGUGAACAAUCUUAAAAUUUAGCUUGUCUUUCUGCUAAACUGUUAAGUGUAUUUAUAGUAAAAGAGAAAAAAGACUGUCAUUUCCUUAUGAGUUUGUGUAACAUCCUCCUUCUCUGGAUAACUUUACUGUAAUUUGACUUUUUUUUCCUUUUGCACAUCUUCAUAAGUUGAAUGUCCAUUUGGAUCAGGGCCAUGAAAAACAUAGGUCCUGAAUAAAAGUUUUGUUUACUGGUGUGAGCAUUUUUUUAGUACCAGGCCGUCUCUGGUGCUUCCUUAAUUUGAACAUUAGGAGUUAAAAAAAACAAGUAGGUGAUAAACAUAGUAGGAAAGGGAGCUUUGGAUUCAUGCACCUAUUUAUUGCAAAUCCAAAUUAGUGUCCACAAUCCUUGAAAAAUGGGCAGUGGUAACACCUUGGACUUCAGUACCUAACCAGUAUUAGUGAGACAGCACUGGACACACAGGCCGGAGUUGUUUUAGAAAUACUAAUGGCUAAAUUAUUACCGUAUGUUUUUAUUGGACCACUUGAAAGAAAAAAGACAAACGCUAAACAGUGCAAGCAUGAAAUUGAUCUCCGGUGGUCAUGGAUCUGAUCGGGAAUUGAGUUGAGAUAGCAGUUUGAACUGUUUGGAGUUGUUGCCUUACUUUUUAAUAUGUAUUUAUAAAGUGUUCCAGCAAAAGAGGAUGUAGCCUCUAAGAAACAUACUUUAGUGUUUUUGUGGUUCUAGUACUAUUACUCAUCAUAGUACCAGCCCUAUGGUCUUAGCUGGAAAGGAUUCUGGAUAAUAUACUUCUGCAUUCUCAUCUGGAUGCUCAUUCCUAACUACUGUAUUUGUUACCAAAUGUGGUUCUACAAAUGCUACUGAAAAAAAAAAAUUCUGGAAAUCCUAAUGUUCUGAGUAUUAAUAAUAAAGUUUAAAAUGCUUUUAUAUCAAA
Apaloderma vittatum (bar-tailed trogon) is the source of this 1484-nucleotide long non-coding RNA. RefSeq lists it as uncharacterized. The transcript has 2 exons. Lineage: Eukaryota; Metazoa; Chordata; Aves; Trogoniformes; Trogonidae. The record is from RefSeq and is a predicted model, not a curated record.